CAAUAGCAUAUAUUAACGUUGUUGCAGUUGAAAAGCUCGUAGUUGAACUUUUGGUAGGAGCGACCUGGCCUUGGGCGCAUGCCCUUGUUUGCCGUGUGUCGUAUCUGGCCAUCCUUUUCUUCUUUUUGGAAGGAAUCCUUUACUGUGAGUAAACUGGAGUGCUCAAAACAAGACGUUUGUUUGGUACAUUAAAGCAUGGAAUAAUAAGAUAGGACCUGGUUACUAUUUUGUUGGUUUGCAUAGCUAGGUAAUGAUUAACAGGGACAGUUGGGGGUAUUCGUAUUUAAUUGUCAGAGGUGAAAUUCUUGGAUUUAUGAAAGACGAACGACUGCGAAAGCAUUUACCAAGGAUGUUUNCAUUA
RNAcentral lists this ribosomal RNA (361 nucleotides) under uncultured eukaryote. RNAcentral describes it as "partial 18S ribosomal RNA". It matches the Rfam family "Eukaryotic small subunit ribosomal RNA", at positions 592 to 975 of the family's 1831-position model. The record is from RNAcentral.